RNAcentral lists this ribosomal RNA (253 nucleotides) under uncultured bacterium. RNAcentral describes it as "partial 16S ribosomal RNA". It matches the Rfam family "Bacterial small subunit ribosomal RNA", at positions 524 to 776 of the family's 1533-position model. The record is from RNAcentral.
UACGUAGGGUGCGAGCGUUAAUCGGAAUUACUGGGCGUAAAGCGUGCGCAGGCGGUUUUGUAAGCCAGAUGUGAAAUCCCCGGGCUUAACCUGGGAAUGGCAUUUGGGACUGCAAGGCUUGAGUGCGGCAGAGGAGACUGGAAUUCCUGGUGUAGCAGUGAAAUGCGUAGAGAUCCGGAGGAACACCAAAGGCGAAGGCAGUGUCCUGGGGAGUACCUGACGCUCAGGUGCGAAAGCCAGGGGAGCGAACGGG